AUUUUUUCAGACAGGGCACACACAGUCCUGUUUCCUUUGUGGGAAAACCUUCGAACUUCACCAUCCUCAGCUGAAACAACAACAUCUUAACACCAUCUUCAUGAACUGCUGAGCCAAACCUGAUCCAUCAGUGCUGGACUGCACAGAUAACUACACGCCACAAGGAGACUGCUGUGUUAUGAACUGCCAUACCAGUGUGUCUUCAAUGGAGAAGAUGACACACCCAUCACCUGACCUCCUGCCUGAUCUGGAGACCAUCACCAUGCUGCCACACUACACACCUCUGAGACGAUCAAUGAUGACUGAUACUGAGGAAACUGUAUUUCCUGUCAGAGAUGCUCAGUGAUCCUCAGAGCAGAGAGAGGUAUUGCUGUCUUCUGAGUUCUUCAGUGUCCCAACUGAAACAUUCAAACCUCAUUGCAGAGCUCAUGUCUUUCCUCACCAUCAUGUGAGUGUGAGAUUGCUCUGGAUUCUGGUUAUGUGGCCUGCAGCACCUAUAAGAACAAGCUCGUCCUGUGUGCCUGCAUUCCAGCUUCUUAGACUCUACGCAAGUGGACAGAGUAUCAGUGCUUGGCCACUCUUACAGACACCGACUUCUGUCAACUCACUGCUACUGAUCAGGCACCUCACUCCAGGAAGACAGAGGGCUGCAAGCCUGUUAUCGUUUCCAGUGUGGCUUUGUAUUCUUGGGGUAGUAUCAGAUUUUUCCCACAAAUAUUCAAAGGUAACACUUAUUUUAAGCUUAGUUAUUAAAUCAAAAGUCUUCCCUUGUGUUAAUUUUUUUUUUUUUUUAUUUAUUUUUUUCUUUUACAUUUAUAUGCAGUGAUCGGAUGUGGUGGAGCUUUGUUAACUGUGUGGAAAACAUCUGUUUUACAAUGAGGUUUUAAGGUGACAGUUUCCAUGUAAUUUCAAUCAUUUGACUAAGCAAAAACAUGUUUGCAAUUAACAUAUUUUUUUCAGUUUUGUCUUUUGGAUUUAUGUUAACAUUCCUCUGUGACAGCAAAUACUAAACUGGUCCAAGUAACCAGCAUAUCAUUGGUCAAAGACAAAAAGGACCACAUGUCACACUAGCAAUGAAUUUUUGACUGUGUUUGUGUCACCAGAUUUAACAAACAAUAUCAGACAUAUGAAACUGAACUCUGGAUUAAUGUGCAGAUGGGUUUUUUUGUGUUUUUUUUUUAUUGUUGAAUAAUUAUUUUGUAGGACAAACCCAAUCUAUUUACCCAAACAAUGUAACUUGUUUGGGUAAAUAGUGGAUUAAUAUAUCUAAGUCUAUAAGUAUAGCAAGCUGAAUUCAUACAAACACACAGCUCUAAAUCUUGAAUUGUAGGAUGUACAAAAAUGAUCAUGUGAUUAUUAUGGACAUUUAAAUAACUAUAUCUAUUGAACCAUUACACAUAUUCUUUAUAGAAAUUACACAAUCUCAAAAUGUGAAAAAAGAAAAUGUUUAAGAGAACAAAUAAUGUGUGUUUGUAUGAAUCCUGCCUUAGUAUGGGGUGUCAGUAACUACAUUAGUAUAGACUAGGUCUAACAGUGGUUUUCCACAUCUGCUCUAAUAUGUAUAGAUAAUGGGUCAGACAUAUAAAGUCAUUUUGAAAAGUUCAUAAAGGUCACAUCCAUUUAUAUGUGUUUCUCUUUAUCAUUUUAUAUCAGGUCACACAGCUGACUUGAGUUUUGAUCAGAGUAGAACCAUAACAUUCAUGCUAAUGGUUCUACUGUUUACAGUUACUUUAUGAUGGAUUUCAUCCUGGUCACAGCACUAUGUGAAAAGCUGUUAGAGGUAAAGUUAACCCAAUUAAUACCUCAUCAUAAGUCACUCUUUAACGCAAAGCAGUGAUUAUUUUCACUGUAAUUUAUUCCACAAUAAUGUUCUUUAUUUGAUCCCUGUUUCUUUAAAUAUGCACAUCGAUUGUUCAGCUGUGUGACUCUCUACACCUCAAAUAUAUCACAAUGUGGACUUCAUUUCGACAGUAUUUUGUAGAUUGGUACCAUAUUUAUCAUAAAAUCAGGAAACUGUAAACUAAUUGAAAAAAUGAAGCUUCUGAAAAUUUUUAAUGUGGCAUUGGAACAUGUUGUUUAUCCUUGCCAAAUGGUAUUUCCACAAAAC
This is a long non-coding RNA of Oreochromis aureus, 2107 nucleotides long. NCBI's taxonomy places the organism in Eukaryota, Metazoa, Chordata, Actinopteri, Cichliformes, Cichlidae. The record is from Ensembl.